This 691-nucleotide long non-coding RNA is filed under the name Mytilus galloprovincialis (Mediterranean mussel). The record is from RNAcentral. Lineage: Eukaryota; Metazoa; Mollusca; Bivalvia; Mytilida; Mytilidae.
CUUUUCUAAAUAUCCGGCUCUAAAGAAUCUGGGUAUGUGUUAAAACAAACAUAACAGAACUUUAAACUAUUACUUGGAACUAACCAACUCAGUUUUAACGUGGUAAAUGCACAAGAUUAUGAGUAUAUAUAAGGCAACAGUAGUAUAUCGGUGUUCAAAAGUCAUAAAUCGAUUGAGAAAAAAAACAAAUCCGGGUUAAAAACCAAAACCGAAGGAAACACAUCAACUAUAAAAGGAAAACAAAGGAACAACAGUACCACUAACGUGCAACAAAAACAAACGUAAACAUACAUAGAAAUGAACUAUUUGAUAACAACUAGCAUCUUUUCGACAUGGUAAAAGACAUUUUAACAAAACAAAUGGUGGGUAUAUAAAAGAAAUUUGAAGAUGCGUUAAUAAAUUAAGGCAACAGUAGUAUAUCGCUGUUCGAAAUUCAUAAAUCGAUAGAGAGAAAAAAAUCCAGGUUACAAACUAAAACUGAGGGAAACGUAUCAAAUAUAAGAGAACUACGACUAACGACGUAAAAAUAUCAAAAGGCAUAUUGAGGUAAAAAUACGGUCUAUACACUAGGACAAGCUCUAAACAAGGAAGGACCGAGAAAUAAUAACAUGGUAUUCAAUUAUUUAAAUCAUUCAGUGUUAAUUUUGUACCACAUUUUACUGUCUAAGUGUAAAAAAGAAAAUGUUUGGGG